AAUCAACGCUGGCGGCGCGCUUAACACAUGCAAGUCGCACGAGAAAGGGAGCAAUCCUGAGUAAAGUGGCGUACGGGUGAGUAACACGUGGAUCAUCUACCUUCUAGUGGGGAAUACCUCUGGGAAACCGGAGACAAUACCGCAUAAGUCCGUGAGGAGAAAGCCGAAAGGCGCUGGAAGAGGAGUCCGCGGCUGAUUAGCUAGUUGGUGAGGUAAUGGCUCACCAAGGCGAAGAUCGGUAGCCGGCCUGAGAGGGCACACGGCCACACUGGCACUGAAACACGGGCCAGACUCCUACGGGAGGCAGCAGUGGGGAAUCUUGCACAAUGGAGGAAACUCUGAUGCAGCGACGCCGCGUGAGCGAUGAAGCCCCUUGGGGGUGUAAAGCUCUUUCGACGGGAACGAUAAUGACGGUACCCGGA
Molecule: ribosomal RNA, 422 nt
Filed under: uncultured bacterium
Lineage: Bacteria
Description: bacterial SSU rRNA
Rfam family: Bacterial small subunit ribosomal RNA
Source: RNAcentral